UACGAAGGGGGCUAGCGUUGUUCGGAUUUACUGGGCGUAAAGCGCACGUAGGCGGGUCGUUAAGUCAGGGGUGAAAUCCCGGAGCUCAACUCCGGAACUGCCUUUGAUACUGGCGACCUUGAGGCUGGAAGAGGUUAGUGGAAUUCCCAGUGUAGAGGUGAAAUUCGUAGAUAUCGGGAGGAACACCAGUGGCGAAGGCGGCGACCUGGGCCAAUACUGACGCUGAGGUGCGAAAGCGUGGGGAGCGAACAGG
This 253-nucleotide ribosomal RNA is filed under the name uncultured bacterium. Its description in RNAcentral is "partial 16S ribosomal RNA". It matches the Rfam family "Bacterial small subunit ribosomal RNA", at positions 524 to 776 of the family's 1533-position model. The record is from RNAcentral.